GUUACCAGGCUACCAGUGAAGGCCAAAUCCAUGCUAAUCGCAGCGGACGGGUUACCAGUAGAGAGAUGAGUUUCAGUACAUAGCAUGGGAACUGGGGGAGAGGUGAAGGUCGUGACAGGAAAUAGGAGGUGCGUAGGGUCAAAGAAAACAUCAAGAAAACUACAUGAGACCCUAAACGGAAGCUGAAAUGGGAGGUCAUGAGAGGACAUAGGAGAUGCUUAAGGUCAAAGAAGACAUCAAGAAAGAUACAUGAGUCCUAAACUGGGGGAAUGGUGGAGGUCAUGAGAGGACAUAGGAGAUGCUUAAGGUCAAAGAAGACAUCAAGAAAGAUACAUGAGACCCUAAACGGAAGCUGAAAUGGGAGGUCAUGAUAGGAAAUAAGGUGCAUAGGGUCAAAAAAAGAAAUCAAGAAAGUUACAUCAGUCCAAAACGGGUGAAAGAUUGAGGUCAUGAUAGGAAACAGGAGGUGCAUAAGGUCAAUGAAGGAGCAAUCACCAAAUUUUAAGAGUGUCAUCACCCU
This is a long non-coding RNA of Eriocheir sinensis (Chinese mitten crab), 520 nucleotides long. RefSeq lists it as uncharacterized. The transcript has 3 exons. NCBI's taxonomy places the organism in Eukaryota, Metazoa, Arthropoda, Malacostraca, Decapoda, Varunidae. The record is from RefSeq and is a predicted model, not a curated record.